This 7021-nucleotide long non-coding RNA is filed under the name Homo sapiens (human). RNAcentral's name for it is "HSALNT0137704". The record is from RNAcentral. Lineage: Eukaryota; Metazoa; Chordata; Mammalia; Primates; Hominidae.
AGAAUAGAAACUUUGUAAAGGAAUCACGUAAACAAGGUACCCUUCCUGUCUUCCCCAGUCAUCCUGGAUACCAAAUAGCCAUGUCUAUGCCCAAGGAUGCCUAUAAAGGAAGAACUCAAAACAGAACUCCAUGGAGCUUCAGAAUCUAAGAGAAAACUUACCCACAAUUCUCAGUUGCUUCGAGAGAACAAUGGACACCCUGCGCCCGGUGGGUCCCAAGCCUGGUCACUCAAUGCUCCUGGGGGUUGCUAGAUGCCCCACUGCAGGUCCCACUUCUGAUACCAUCUGUUGGGGAAUGAUUUGCAAAUUGAGCAGCCACCAGAAUCAGAAUAGGUUCAGAGAGACUCUGUGCUGCCACAUGCUUGGAGGGGAUUUAUGACUAGGAAAAGGAAAGUGAUGUACAGAAAGCAGAAGUGAGGUACAAAAACAACUGGAUUGGUUACAGCUCAGUGUUUGCCUUAUUUGAACCUGGUUGGAACAGUUGGCCACCUUUCAUUGGCUGAAACUAGCUUAUUGGUACAAGAGUACUUUACAGACUGUUUCCAUAUCUAGUUAAGUUACAGUUCACUAUAUACAGAGUAAUGUAAAGGCUGAACUUGAAAUCCAUGAGGACACAGCUUUAGGCUAAACUUAAUUUAACAAGACUAUAAAGUGUUUGCACUAGAAAACAAAGCAUAUUUUGAGUAGCAUUAGGGUAAACAAAUGCCUGCAAAUUUUACAGUAUCUUACAGGAGGAGGUAGGGUACUUACCAGCAGCCCCAGUAGAAGGGGGAAUUUGGUGAAGUAAUUCCCUGGCACUUCUAGCCUAAGAAGCUGAGCUCCCAGAGGAUCCCACAAAAGCCCUUGGAAAGAAAGGGCUUUUUCAGAAAUACAGAACACACCCACCAGAAUGAUAGGAUGAUAGGGUUUGAGAAAUAUAGGAAUCCAUUGCCCAGCUUGAUAUUGAUGUGGGCACACUGUGCCCACACGCAAAGCAAGAGAGUGAGUGAUUCUGGAAACAGCACUCAGUCAAUGACAGACGGACAGUGGUGGAUGAAUACCCAGCUUCUCAUCUGCUCAGCGGCAAAACAGUGAGACAUGUUCUACAGUGCCUCGCUUGGGUAGGUACAUCACACAUCCUCACCCUAAUGUGUCAUGACAAGGACUGAAGUGAAAGCUACACAAUUUAAAUGAUUGGUGAGCAAGAACUAUUCAAGGGCAUAACACAAAAAUAGUUUUGCCUGCUGUAACUGUACACAUGAUUUAAAAGACUUAAGCUUUCAGGACAAACAUUAUAGAGGAUUUUAAUUUCUUCCUAGAUAUACUUUUCAGCCAUAAACUUUAAAUAAACAAACUACUUGUUCGAGGAACCUAAAACCAUUGGCAAAAUGCAUUACAUUUGUGUUUUUUAUAUUUAAUAUAUUUUCUUUAUUAGUUUAUAUAAAAUAUACUACUUCCACUUCUACUUAUAAUUACAUAUCUUGUUAGAGCAACAGUUAAAAAAAAUGUAGUAGAUACAAGUAGUCUCCCCUAGCACCUAAUCAUCAUCCAACAUAUCUACCUUUUUUUUCGUCUCCUGAAAGGUUAUAAUUUUCUCUCUCUUUGCCGCUGCUCAAGGUAUCCCAGUUACAUGCACAAAGUAUAUCUCUAGUGCUUAUGAAUAUUUAAAAAGCCUCUGUGAGCUGAGCUGUGCAAACCCCAAAGCUUUUUGUUGAUAUAAAGUUAAUAUGAGUUUGAAUGAGGAUCUUUGGCCUCCUUUGCAAUAUAUUUAGCCAUGUUACAAUAGUGAUUGUAGGCCGGACACGGUGGCUCACGCCUGUAAUCCCAGCAUUUUGGGAGGCCGAGGCGGGCAGAUCACUUGAGGUCAGGAGUUCCAGACCACCCUGGCCAACAUGGUGAAACUCCGUCUCUACUAAAAAUACAAAAAAUUAGCCGGGUGUGGUGGCGGGCAGCCAUAAUCCCAGCUACUCAGGAGGCUGAGGCAGGAGAAUCGCUUGAACUCGGGAGGCAGAGGUUGCAGUGAGCCAAGAUUGUGCUACUGCACUACAGCUCAGGUGACAGAGCCAGACUUCGUCUCAAAAAAAAAAAAUAAAUAAAAAGUGAGUGUAGUGUCAAAGUGCUAAUACAAAAAAAGAGUAACUUAGCUCUUUUUCCCCUCAUUUUUCCAGUGUCUUUUCAAAUAAUAGUAAUUUGUAUGGCCAGCUUCCCUAGAAAACAAAGCCUGAGCAAAUCUUCAUAAGCCAAGAUGUUUGAGAGGAGCUCAAUCCCAGUGAAGCAGGAGUGAAGGGGAAAUGCAGAAAGGCCGGGAAGGAGGGAGGGUGAACACAGAGAGUGCAUGACUGGAGGACGGGACACAUUUUGGUGACAAGUUGACUGUAUCUUCAAACCGUCUAUCUGAGGCAUGAUGCAAGAGUUAUCUACGGAGGGUACCCACCGCUUCCAGCUCUCAUUGGUCGAGCUCUCACAGGGGGCGGUAACGCCUCCCUUCCUCCAGUGCCAAUCAGAUCCUUCAGAGCCUCCAGUCUUUGCAGCCCUAAGGAAGCUUCCGCACAAGGCAGGAGUCCUGCAGAGCGACUAGCAGGGCGCAUCAGGGAAGGCGCACGCAGGUUGGAGUGGCUGCCAUGAGAAACCAGUGACGGCGCACGACUCUCUGGCCAAAAAGCGAGACUAGCGCCCCAGCCCCGGAUGGUGAACCUACAGACUCCAGCACGGUGCUUGGCAUAGGCCUAUCUCCUGUAUUCAAUGGCACAUUUACAACGCUUGUGAAGUUCAUCUGUUAGUUACAGUGCAUUGGCUCCACUUGGCGUGACCCACUACAGAUGUUCAAACUUUUACGUGUUUUGAGACUAGGAAGAAAUAUGUUAAUUUAUAAUUUAAUUAAAAUCAAUAACUCAUUCUUGAAAAUUAAUCUGAAGAAGUUCCAUGAAUUAGGAGAGGAGAGGAAAUCUAAAUAAUUGACCGUAAGGAAUUAGUUGAGUCAGUGAUGAUGCAUCAACUUAAGGGACUCUUACCUCAUUUUAAAAGGGCGAUUAGUUUAAAAUAUUGCCAUAUGCUUUUGACAUAAUGUUAAAUUUAAAAAGCGGAAGAUGAAGCACCUUCCAAUUGUGAUUCAAAAUUGCAUUGGUCAGGAGAGUCAAAGUCACACCACAGUAAGAAACAAUAUGGUUACAUAAACGGAUACAACACACACUGGGGCCUUUGCAGGUGUAUGGUGGGAGGAGGGAGAGGAUCAGCAAAAACAGCUAAUGGGUACUAGGUUUAAUACCUGAGUGAUAAAAUAGUCUGUACAACAAAUCCCCAUGACACAAGUUUACCUAUCUAGCAAACCUGCACUUGUACCCCUGAACUUAAAAUUAAAAAAAAAAAAAAAAAAAAGAAACAACCAAAAAAAUCCCAGCAGCUUAGGACAACAAGCCUUUGUUUAUUGCACACACACAUGCCAAGUAACCAUAUGACGUGAUAGCUAUGUUCAAUGGCUUCACUAUAGUAACCAUUGUACUAUCUACAGGAAUCCCAUAACCUCAUGUUGUAAACCUCAAAUAUACACAAUAACAUUUAUUUUUAAAAAGAAAAAGGAAGUCUCCUGCGUGUUCGGGAGGUUCUCCCAGACACUGUCCACACACAUUGCCCAUGAUUCUUCCUGUUGGGUUGGAAUCAGGUGGUGAAUGGCACUGCUCCCUUAACCACCAUGCUAUCCAGUCACUAGAAUUUCUGCCUAUUCCUGCGAACACAUGACUGUCCACAAUCAGAUAGCAUCAGACAUGUCAAGGUCAACCAUCAGACAAACCAGCAUUUAGAGGAUAAGCAAAAGAACAGGGGACCCUGCCCUGGAUGAGACUCACAGUGGUGCUGAGGGAUGGAGGGAGUUUCUGCUCAGACAGCACAAGCACAACGGACACCGUAAGUCAGCCUGUCCUUGUCCGCUUCGACCCAGUGUGCUUACUGACACAUACCUGGAGUGCCUGUUCAUGUGCAUAGCCCAUCACCCUGACAGCACAACUACAAUCUUUGGACUCCGUGUCAUAGUUCAUCUUGUGCUGUCAGUUUGGAUCCCGGUGCUAAUGUUACUCAUGAGAGUCCAAGAAGGUUGAGUCCAAGACAAUGGAUGAUAAUCGCCCAACUUACUACAGCACAAACACUUUGUGGAAAUGGGCACUUAACUGAAAAUCUCUUAUUCCAGCAAGAGAGGUCAUAUUUUCCAUUUAUUUUACAACACUUCUUCAGAUCCUAUGUGGAGGUCUGUUUUCCUAGAAAAGAUCAUUUAUUCCAGUCAUUUAGAACUAAAAUUCAAAAUCUGUGCACCCUUGGUUAUUUAAUAUAGAUAACGGGAAAAAAAUCUGAGCAUAUUAUGGGUUAUUAAACACUAAAAUGUGCUUCUGAAAAAAAUUGCAGGAUAUCUUCAUGUGAAAUUCUUUGGUUCCCUAUGGAGCCAGGGAUCCUGACUAGUUGCUUCUUGAGGUGUUUCCCAAACCUGGGAUGCUAUGAUAGGGGCCAUAAAAUCAAUAUGCUGAGUUGAAAAAGAUUAUAUCUCAGCAGCUGGUGAAGAAAGCAAACCUAAAAUAUUUUAGAUAAGCAUUUAUUGUUCACUAAAUAAGUGUGCUGCCUUAGCAAAAGGAAUUACCCAGACUGCAAAACUGCAACAAACUUGGAAAAACCUUUAAAUAUACAGAAUAUUUAAUAUAUCAUUUAAUGUGAAAAAAACGAAGAAAGUCUUUCCUUAAAGGAAAUAUCAAAUUUCUCUAAUCACAUUCUUGUUUAACAACAAGACUAUAGUUUAAAAAAAUUCAAAGGAAUAGCACUAAAUCCAAACUAUAAAAGAAUAUUAAUAUAUAAAUUAAGUGGCACAUAUCAUGCCAUACAGUUUUUUAAAACGACAUAUAGUGUUUUUAGCCUGGGCACAGUGGCUCGCACCUAUAAUUCCAGCACUUUGGGAGGCUGGGGCAGGUAGAUCACAUGAGGUCAGGAGUUUGAGACCAGCCUGGGCAACAUAGCAAGACCUUGUCUCUAUUUUUUAAAUCCAAAAAUAUUAGCCAGGCAUGGUGGUGCACGCCUGUGGUCCCAGUUACUCAGGAGGCUGAGGUGGGAGGAUCACUUGAGCCCAGGAGAUGGAGGCUGCAGUGAGUUAUGACAGUGCCAUUGCACUUCAUCUUGGGCAACAGAGUGAGACCCUGUCUCCAGUAAAUAAAUAAAUAAAUAACAUAUGGUGUUUUUACAUUUCUUUAUAUUCAUAGAUAAAAUAUUCAAGCAAUUAUUUUUAUGUGUGGGUUGUGUUCUAAAAGUCACAAUGUAUUUUUCCUGAAGAACAAUGGUGUUUUUGAGGUCAGACUAUCUUCCAAAAGUUCAUUUAACUCAAAAUAUUAUAGAAAGAUAGUACAUUUGCAAACAAAGUUAAAGUAGACUAAACAAAAGUUAAGUAAUAAAGCAGACUGUCAAAUUAACAUACAAGAAACAGUAGCCUUCAAUACAAAAAAUAAUCAGAAGAUAUAAUGUAUGAGAGAGCCCCAUUUCCAGCAAGAAAAUAAAAUAUAAAAUACUUAAGAAUGAGCUUAACAAGAAAUUUGCAAAACCUCUAUAAGGAAAACUUUAAAAUACUCCUGAAGAAGAUUUCAAUAAACACAAAGACAUCCUUUGCUCUUUGGGAUAGGAUGAUUCAACCCAUCAUUAGUAUAUGAGUUCUUCCUCAGUUGAUUUAGAAACUUAACAUGAUUAAAAAUAAAUAAAUGACAGGCAUUUUAAUGGAGCUAGACCAGUCAAUACUAAAAUCAAUAGGAAAAAAUAAAAUGUUAGAAUAGUUAUGACAACAUUGAAAAAUAAAAACCAUAAGGAAGUGAAAUCCUACCAGAUACGAAAAUAGACUUUGAAGCCUCUAUAACUAAAGCAAUGUGGUUCUGGCACCUGAAUAGACUGACGGGCCAGUGGAAUCAAAUACAGAGUCCAGGAAUUGAUCCAAGAAAAAAUGGGAAUGUAAUGUAUGAUGAUGAUGGUGUCUUACAUUACUGGGGCAAAAAAUUCAAAAUAAGCCAUUUGAGGACAGGGGCAGUAGUUCACAUCUAUAAUUUCAGCACUUUGGGAGCCUUAAGCAGGAGGAACCCUUGAGCCCAGGAGUUCAAGACCAGCCUGGGCAAUGUAACAAGACCUUUCCCCGCCAACAGCCUUCCCCAUCUCUACAAAAAACAAACAAACAAACAAAUUAGUUGGGCAUGGUGGUAUACAACUGUAGUCCUAACAGUUCAGGAGGCUGAGGUAGGAGGAUCGGUUGAGCCCCCAGAGUUCAAGGCUGCAGGGAGCUAUGAUUAUGUUACUGCACACCAGCCUGGGUGACAGAGAGAGAGCCUGACUCUAAAACAAGCAAAAACAAAGACAUUUGAAAAAAAGAUGAAAUUGGAUCCUUAACUUGCACCAUACAAAAUAAGAAAUUCCAACUGACUUGAGAAAUAAUUGUUAAAAAUGAAACCAUGCAAGUACUAGAACACAUGGAAGGGUUCUUCCAUAACCCACCAUGGAUAAGGAAAGGUUCUAUUCAUUUAUCAAAUCUGGAUGUGAUAAAAGAUAAUAACAAUAUAUUUAAUUACAUAAAUAUGUGGUUUUUAUAGCUUAUAUGUAUUCUAUGUUAUGUAUAAUUGUGUUAAAAAAUAAAUGAUAUUCAAAUAUAUAUUUUGCAUUUCAGAAAUAUGUGAUGGCAAACUGGGAGAAAAUAUUUGCAGCAUGUAUGUAGUAGGUGAAAAGCACUGUCUUUUGGUCUUAGGAACCCAGUUAAGGGAUCUACUUGAGAUUUAAGAAGCAAGAAAUGGAAUACCAGGCAAAAACAAUAAAGUUGCACCAAGGUCUAUAUGGGAUUGACAGCAAGACAUUUUAUCUGAGCCCUAGUCAUUGUCCUGUGCAUUCUGAACCAGGUAGGAACUAGAGUCUACAUUUGGAAGGAACUGCAAAUGAGUGCCAAGUGAUCCAGUUGAAAAAUUAGAGACAUCAGCAAUUCCAUGAAGAUGUCACCACCCUAAGUGUCAAUAGAAUCCCUGUUAUAAUAGUAGGAUAUUGACCCAUG